ACACAGUCCAUUGGUAACAAGUUUUGGCAUACAGAUUGAUUAACAUCUCUGUUGAUCAAACUUAAAUAACUUGGUCUUCUCAUAUAAAAUAUAAUUAUUUAAAUACUUUUUUGUUCAUCUAUAAAAGAGUAUUUUCGCCUGCAAGCCACACUUAAUGUUACACCAAUUCAUAUGUUUUACAACAAAGUAUGAGCAUUUACUGUAAAAGCUGUGUUUGAAUUGUUGUGAAAUUCCUUAGUGUAUGAAGAUCGUUUUCCAGUCGAAGUCGAUCAUAUAUAAAGUCGCGAUGCAGAUACAUAUACAAUUUAAGCAUUUGUUGGAACUAGAGAGGCAAGGGAAUUGACUCAUAUUAUAAUAGAUGAUUGGAGUAUAACCGUAUAGACAAUGACCUUUCUACAUGGAUCUUUCGUUUCGUUCAAUUGGACUAUAAAUUUAUAAACGAAUGCAAUGUGGGCUACUUACAAACGCUUUUUCGUAGAUAAUAGUCUAGUCUUUAAACCAUAAUAGCUAUUAAGACGUUAUUUCAAAA
Non-coding RNA from Schizosaccharomyces pombe (fission yeast), 529 nucleotides. The record is from the annotation of a GenBank genome assembly. NCBI's taxonomy places the organism in Eukaryota, Fungi, Ascomycota, Schizosaccharomycetes, Schizosaccharomycetales, Schizosaccharomycetaceae.